GACGAACGCUGGCGGCGUGCUUAACACAUGCCAGUCGAACGGAAAGGCCCUGAUUUUGUGGGGUGAUCGAGUGGCGAACGGGUGAGUAACACGUGAGUAACCUGACCUUGACUUUGGGAUAACUUCAGGAAACUGGGGCUACUACAGGAUAGGAGCUCCUGCUGCAUGGUGGGGGUUGGAACGUUUCGGCGGUUGGGGAUGGACUCGCGGCUUAUCAGCUUGUUGGUGGGGUAGUGGCUUACCAAGGCUUUGACGGGUAGCCGGCCUGGGAGGGUGACCGGCCACAUUGGGACUGAGAUACGGCGCAGACUCCUACAGGAGGCAGCAGUGGGGAAUAUUGCACAAUGGGCGGAAGCCUGAUGCAGCAACGCCGCGUGCGGGAUGACGGCCUUCGGGGUGUAAACCGCUGUCGCCUGUGACGAAGCGUGAGUGACGGUAAUGGGUAAAGAAGCACCGGCUAACUACGUG
This 468-nucleotide ribosomal RNA is filed under the name uncultured bacterium. RNAcentral's name for it is "partial 16S ribosomal RNA". It matches the Rfam family "Bacterial small subunit ribosomal RNA", at positions 28 to 507 of the family's 1533-position model. The record is from RNAcentral.